RNAcentral lists this ribosomal RNA (1343 nucleotides) under uncultured bacterium. RNAcentral's name for it is "16S ribosomal RNA". It matches the Rfam family "Bacterial small subunit ribosomal RNA", at positions 28 to 1378 of the family's 1533-position model. The record is from RNAcentral.
GACGAACGCUUGCGGCGUGCUUAACACAUGCAAGUCGAACGGAAAGGCCCUGCUUUUGUGGGGUGCUCGAGUGGCGAACGGGUGAGUAACACGUGAGUAACCUGCCCUUGACUUUGGGAUAACUUCAGGAAACUGGGGCUAAUACCGGAUAGGAGCUCCUGCUGCAUGGUGGGGGUUGGAAAGUUUCGGCGGUUGGGGAUGGACUCGCGGCUUAUCAGCUUGUUGGUGGGGUAGUGGCUUACCAAGGCUUUGACGGGUAGCCGGCCUGAGAGGGUGACCGGCCACAUUGGGACUGAGAUACGGCCCAGACUCCUACGGGAGGCAGCAGUGGGGAAUAUUGCACAAUGGGCGGAAGCCUGAUGCAGCAACGCCGCGUGCGGGAUGACGGCCUUCGGGUUGUAAACCGCUUUCGCCUGUGACGAAGCGUGAGUGACGGUAAUGGGUAAAGAAGCACCGGCUAACUACGUGCCAGCAGCCGCGGUGAUACGUAGGGUGCGAGCGUUGUCCGGAUUUAUUGGGCGUAAAGGGCUCGUAGGUGGUUGAUCGCGUCGGAAGUGUAAUCUUGGGGCUUAACCCUGAGCGUGCUUUCGAUACGGGUUGACUUGAGGAAGGUAGGGGAGAAUGGAAUUCCUGGUGGAGCGGUGGAAUGCGCAGAUAUCAGGAGGAACACCAGUGGCGAAGGCGGUUCUCUGGGCCUUUCCUGACGCUGAGGAGCGAAAGCGUGGGGAGCGAACAGGCUUAGAUACCCUGGUAGUCCACGCUGUAAACGGUGGGUACUAGGUGUGGGGUCCAUUCCACGGGUUCCGUGCCGUAGCUAACGCUUUAAGUACCCCGCCUGGGGAGUACGGCCGCAAGGCUAAAACUCAAAGGAAUUGACGGGGCCCCGCACAAGCGGCGGAGCAUGCGGAUUAAUUCGAUGCAACGCGUAGAACCUUACCUGGGUUUGACAUGGAUCGGGAGUGCUCAGAGAUGGGUGUGCCUCUUUUGGGGUCGGUUCACAGGUGGUGCAUGCCUGUCGUCAGCUCAUGUCGUGAGAUGUUGGGUUAAGUCCCGCAACGAGCGCAACCCUUGUUCACUGUUGCCAGCACGUUAUGGUGGGGACUCAGUGGAGACCGCCGGGGUCAACUCGGAGGAAGGUGGGGAUGACGUCAAGUCAUCAUGCCCCUUAUGUCCAGGGCUUCACGCAUGCUACAAUGGCUGGUACAGAGAGUGGCGAGCCUGUGAGGGUGAGCGAAUCUCGGAAAGCCGGUCUCAGUUCGGAUUGGGGUCUGCAACUCGACCUCAUGAAGUCGGAGUCGCUAGUAAUCGCAGAUCAGCAACGCUGCGGUGAAUACGUUCCCGGG